GAUGAACGCUGGCGGCGUGCCUAAUACAUGCAAGUCGAGCGAAAAGACGAGGAGCUUGCUCCUCUGACGUUAGCGGCGGACGGGUGAGUAACACGUGGAUAACCUACCUAUAAGACUGGGAUAACUUCGGGAAACCGGAGCUAAUACCGGAUAAUAUAUUGAACCGCAUGGUUCAAUAGUGAAAGACGGUUUUGCUGUCACUUAUAGAUGGAUCCGCGCCGCAUUAGCUAGUUGGUAAGGUAACGGCUUACCAAGGCAACGAUGCGUAGCCGACCUGAGAGGGUGGUAGGCCACACUGGAACGGAGACACGGUCCAGACGCCUAAGGGAGGCAGCAGUAGGGAAUCUUACGCAACGGGCGAAAGUAUGACGGAGCAACGCCGCGUGAGUGAUGAAGGUCUUCGGAUCGUAAAACUCUGUUAUUAGGGAAGAACAAAUGUGUAAGUAAAUAUGCACGUCUUGACGGUACAUAAUCAGAAAGCCACGGCUAACUACGUG
Molecule: ribosomal RNA, 497 nt
Filed under: uncultured bacterium
Lineage: Bacteria
Description: partial 16S ribosomal RNA
Rfam family: Bacterial small subunit ribosomal RNA
Source: RNAcentral